RNAcentral lists this ribosomal RNA (468 nucleotides) under uncultured bacterium. Its description in RNAcentral is "partial 16S ribosomal RNA". It matches the Rfam family "Bacterial small subunit ribosomal RNA", at positions 28 to 507 of the family's 1533-position model. The record is from RNAcentral.
GAUGAACGCUGGCGGCGUGCUUAACACAUGCAAGUCGAACGGAAAGGCCCAAGCUUGCUUGGGUACUCGAGUGGCGAACGGGUGAGUAACACGUGGGUGAUCUGCCCUGCACUUCGGGAUAAGCCUGGGAAACUGGGUCUAAUACCGGAUAGGACGAUGGUUUGGAUGCCAUUGUGGAAAGUUUUUUCGGUGUGGGAUGAGCUCGCGGCCUAUCAGCUUGUUGGUGGGGUAAUGGCCUACCAAGGCGUCGACGGGUAGCCGGCCUGAGAGGGUGUACAGCCACAUUGGGACUGAGAUACGGCCCAGACUCCUACGGGAGGCAGCAGUGGGGAAUAUUGCACAAUGGGCGCAAGCCUGAUGCAGCGACGCCGCGUGGGGGAUGACGGCCUUCGGGUUGUAAACUCCUUUCGCUAGGGACGAAGCGUUUUUGUGACGGUACCUGGAGAAGAAGCACCGGCUAACUACGUG